This 457-nucleotide ribosomal RNA is filed under the name uncultured Thiobacillus sp. RNAcentral's name for it is "bacterial SSU rRNA". It matches the Rfam family "Bacterial small subunit ribosomal RNA", at positions 346 to 795 of the family's 1533-position model. Lineage: Bacteria; Pseudomonadati; Pseudomonadota; Betaproteobacteria; Nitrosomonadales; Thiobacillaceae. The record is from RNAcentral.
GGGCUGCAGUGGGGAAUUUUGGACAAUGGGGGCAACCCUGAUCCAGCCAUUCCGCGUGAGUGAAGAAGGCCUUCGGGUUGUAAAGCUCUUUCAGCUGGAAAGAAACGGUACGCACUAACAUUGUGUGCUAAUGACGGUACCAGCAGAAGAAGCACCGGCUAACUACGUGCCAGCAGCCGCGGUAAUACGUAGGGUGCGAGCGUUAAUCGGAAUUACUGGGCGUAAAGCGUGCGCAGGCGGAUUGUUAAGCAAGAUGUGAAAUCCCCGGGCUUAACCUGGGAAUGGCAUUUUGAACUGGCAGUCUAGAGUGUGUCAGAGGGGGGUGGAAUUCCACGUGUAGCAGUGAAAUGCGUAGAUAUGUGGAGGAACACCAAUGGCGAAGGCAGCCCCCUGGGAUAACACUGACGCUCAUGUACGAAAGCGUGGGUAGCAAACAGGAUUAGAUACCCUGGUAGUC